This 385-nucleotide unclassified non-coding RNA is filed under the name uncultured fungus. RNAcentral's name for it is "partial contains small subunit ribosomal RNA, internal transcribed spacer 1, and 5.8S ribosomal RNA". The stretch from base 1 to 73 matches the Rfam family "Eukaryotic small subunit ribosomal RNA", at positions 1759 to 1831 of the family's 1831-position model. The record is from RNAcentral. Lineage: Eukaryota; Fungi.
GCAAACUUGGUCAUUUAGAGGAAGUAAAAGUCGUAACAAGGUUUCCGUAGGUGAACCUGCGGAAGGAUCAUUAUUGAAUAUUCUCGAUGGGUUGUAGCUGGCUCCUUGGAGCAUGUGCACGCCUGUCUUGAUUUUAUUCAUCCACCUGUGCACUUUUUGUAGUCUUGGAGAGAGUGAUCAACUGUCGGAUGAUUAUUCCGGAUGUGAGAAUUGCUGAGUGUGAAAGCAUUCAGCUUUUCCCAGAUCGAUUUCUCACUUCAAGUGCUAUGUCUUCAUAUACCACAUAGUAUGUUGUAGAAUGUAAUCAAUGGGCUUUUGCCUAUAAUAAUCAUAUACAACUUUCAGCAACGGAUCUCUUGGCUCUCGCAUCGAUGAAGAACGCAGC